RNAcentral lists this unclassified non-coding RNA (1317 nucleotides) under Hevea brasiliensis (rubber tree). Lineage: Eukaryota; Viridiplantae; Streptophyta; Magnoliopsida; Malpighiales; Euphorbiaceae. The record is from RNAcentral.
UAAAAAAAUAAUAAUAAUAAAAAUGGACGUUAUUAGACCGUCAUAAUUUGCCAAAAAGAAUAUCAUACUCUAAAAUAAAAUGAAAUAAAUACAUACAUGGAAUGGAGAUUGGACCAGCCCACGUAACCAACGCUCCCCGCGCAUGACACGUAAGACAAGUAAUAUUCUUCCUCUCUUCUAUAAGCAUUAUCCGGAAACAGUAAUAAAGAUCACACUAAUUCCAUUUAACCAAGGAAAUCGAAGGAAUCGCACAGAGGAAAGGCGAGGGAAAAAGGACGUCGUUGUAUUGUCGAUGGAAGACCUUCGACGACUACGACGAUGAAGAUAAACCAGAGAAACCUUGCCGAUAUGGAGUCACCAAGAUGCGAUGUCCCCAGUAUAAGCUCUGGAGCCAGAACAUGCUCCAGCCUUCAGGUAUGUUAUUUAUCAUUUUAUCGUAUUGCUAAUUAAUUCCAACUGAUGUACUAAUCUGUUGAAAUGCUAUGUGUUUUCGUGCAAUUUGUAAUGUUAUAACAAUUUGCUUUUCUAGUGCCAUUGCAACUGUAGUAAGUUCAAAUUCUGUGAUGUUUGAAUGGGUAGUUAAAAUUUGUGCAUUUUAAAAGCAUCCCAACUAGAAUUUUAGUAAUAGUGUCAAUGAUGAGGAAAAUGAGGAAAAAUUGUGUUUAGGAACUUGAAAAGUGGAAGCUGGGCAUCUGGAGAAGUUCUACCAGCCGAUGAUGACUUUAUCAUCGUUACCCACAACGAAUUUUAAAUAUGUUCAGUAGCUAAAUGGAGAGUAUUGAUGAAUCUCAUAUUUCCAUGCACAAAUUUAUACGAAUCUGAAUUUUUCUUUGUAUAAUCAUGAGUCUAGCUGGAUUUGCACUUGAAGUAUGUAAUAAUACUCCUCCAUCCUGGAUUGGCAUUUUGAUGCAGAUAAUAAAAACUUCAUCAAUUUGUUUGCUAUAAUUUGGUCAGAGAGCAGUUUUAUGUAGCCAUGGAUAUUUUAGGGUCCAUGGGGCAGUUUGUUGACGGCUGAAGUUCUCUGGAGGUUCCCACAGUCUUAUGCCAAGGUCUUUUAUCAAAGAGGUGAUUUACAUGCUCCACCAACAUGAUGUAUGUGUCAAUAACAUAUGACUGGGCUGAACACUUGCUUCAUAAAGGUCCAUCAGCUUUCAAAGAAUAUGUUGAGGCAUGGGAAUCAAGCUCAAUGUAGGGUCGCUCGGAGUUCAAGAAGAGUCCCUUUUGAGAUACGUGUCCCUUUUGAGAUACGUGCACUUGAUUAAGAGUGGCGGCUUGAAAGCGAAGCCUAAAUUUGCAGCCAUAAUAAGUCUGAUAUUU